GGGGAGCUGGCGCAACGGUAGCGCGUCAGAUUCCAGCUAUUAAGCACGGAGAUUCCUGAAGGUUAUCGGUUCAAAUCCGGUGUUCCUCA
Fusarium oxysporum f. sp. lycopersici 4287 is the source of this 89-nucleotide transfer RNA. It matches the Rfam family "tRNA". Rfam says of the family: Transfer RNA (tRNA) molecules are approximately 80 nucleotides in length. Their secondary structure includes four short double-helical elements and three loops (D, anti-codon, and T loops). The record is from Rfam. Lineage: Eukaryota; Fungi; Ascomycota; Sordariomycetes; Hypocreales; Nectriaceae.